CAGCAGUAGCCACGGGAAUACGAAGGGUGCAAGCGUUACUCGGAAUUACUGGGCGUAAAGCGUGCGUAGGUGGUGGUUUAAGUCCGUUGUGAAAGCCCUGGGCUCAACCUGGGAAUUGCAGUGGAUACUGGGUCACUAGAGUGUGGUAGAGGAUAGUGGAAUUUCCGGUGUAGCAGUGAAAUGCGUAGAGAUCGGAAGGAACAUCUGUGGCGAAGGCGACUAUCUGGGCCAACACUGACACUGAGGCACGAAAGCGUGGGGAGCAAACAGGAUUAGAUACCCGAGUAGUCCCUGUCUCUUAUAC
This 304-nucleotide ribosomal RNA is filed under the name uncultured bacterium. RNAcentral's name for it is "partial 16S ribosomal RNA". It matches the Rfam family "Bacterial small subunit ribosomal RNA", at positions 506 to 807 of the family's 1533-position model. The record is from RNAcentral.